This 655-nucleotide ribosomal RNA is filed under the name Metschnikowia cerradonensis. RNAcentral's name for it is "LSU rRNA". It matches the Rfam family "Eukaryotic large subunit ribosomal RNA", at positions 38 to 911 of the family's 3401-position model. Lineage: Eukaryota; Fungi; Ascomycota; Pichiomycetes; Serinales; Metschnikowiaceae. The record is from RNAcentral.
GCAUAUCAAUAAGCGGAGGAAAAGAAACCAACAGGGAUUACCUCAGUAACGGCGAGUGAAGCGGUAAAAGCUCAAAUUUGAAAUCUUCGGAAUUGUAAUUUGAUGGAUAAAAUUGCUACGGUCGAAAGUUCACUGGAAAGUGACGCCAUAGAGGGUGAUAGCCCCGUAACGUCCACUGGCACUAUAAUUUUAUUCCAAAGAGUCGGGUUGUUUGGGAAUGCAGCUCAAAGUGGGUGGUAAAUUCCAUCUAAAGCUAAAUAUUGACGAGAGACCGAUAGCGAACAAGUACAGUGAUGGAAAGAUGAAAAGAACUUUGAAAAGAGAGUGAAACAGUACGUGAAAUUGUUGAAAGGGAAGGGGAGGGAAGAUGUUAAAGGGACUCCUUCAUUGUAGGGAUCCCCCCUAAAGAGUCUUUCCUCUCGCCCGUCUUGAAACACGGACCAAGGAGUCUAACGAUUAUGCAAGUAUUUGAGUCAACCCCCAAAUGCGUAAUGAAAGUAAUUGGUCAACCCUACCCUCCUGUCCUAAAGGGCGGGAGAGGAAGCAUAAUUAUUAGGACCCGAAAGAUGGUGAACUAUACCUGGAUAGGGUGAAGCCAGAGGAAACUCUGGUGGAAGCUCGUAGCGGUUCUGACGUGCAAAUCGAUCGUCAAAUC